RNAcentral lists this long non-coding RNA (1877 nucleotides) under Citrus sinensis (sweet orange). RNAcentral's name for it is "long non-coding RNA (CSIN_LNC003660)". The record is from RNAcentral. Lineage: Eukaryota; Viridiplantae; Streptophyta; Magnoliopsida; Sapindales; Rutaceae.
UUCUUGAUGCGUGAGACAAGGUCGGACUUCGGUUGGCUCAUGCUAAGUGUUGCCAAUUCCGCCUUGCGGCUUAGAGCGUCCGCAACAACAUUGGCUUUCCCCGGUUUGUACUCUAGCCGAUAGUCGAAUUCCGCAAGGAAAUCUUGCCACCGUGCUUGCUUCGGACUCAACUUCUUUUGAGUUUGAAAGUAGCUUGUCGCCACGUUGUCCGUCAUGAUCGUGAAGUGUGAGCCAAGCAAGUAAUGUCGCCACACUCUUAGACAAUGGAUGAUGGCUGUCAUCUCCUUUUCUUGCACCGUGUAGCGGCGUUCCGUGUCAUUUAACUUUCACCAAUCCCGCUGGUGAGCGCUCACAUAAUGCCUCAGGUACAUCUCGAGGAGGCCAUUAAUGCGCUCGGUCUGCCCAUCCGUUUGUGGGUGGAAACUUGUCGAGAACUUGAGAUCGGUCCCCAACAUCUUAAAGAGCUCCGUCCAAAAUCGCCCAGUAAAUCGAGGGUCUCGGUCGCUCACAAUGCUCUUCGGAACUCCCCAAAGCUUCACAAUGUGCUUGACGAAUAGGCGGGCUGCCUCGUCCGCUUUGCAAUCAACGGGUGCGGCAAUGAAUAUGGCGUACUUGCUGUAUCGGUCGACAACGACCAUGAUGCUACCGCAACCUUCGGACUUGGGCAGCGAUGUGAUGAAGUCCAUGGAGACACUCUCCCAUGGCCUUGUUGCUAGUGGUAGCGGCUCUAACAAUCCCGCUGGAAGUUGAUGAUCUACCUUGUCUUGUUGGCACACAAGACAAGUGCACACAUAUGCCUCGAUGUUGUCCCUCAUGUGCGGCCAAAAAUACGAGGCUUGAACUAGUGCGGUGGUGCGCUCGAUUCCUGGGUGACCAGCCCACUUAGAGUCGUGGCACUCCUUGAUUACUUCCUUCCGCAAGUUUCCCCACCUUGGCACGAACAGCCGAUCUCCCUUGGUGAGGAGAAUGCCUUCCUCUUGCCAAAACCGCCUUGUCUUUCCUUCGAGCACCUUCUCCAGCAAAUCCUUUGCUAGCGGAUCUUGUUGGAGGCCUUCCUUGAUGCGUGAGACAAGGUCGGACUUCGGUUGGCUCAUGCUAAGUGUUGCCAAUUCCGCCUUGCGGCUUAGAGCGUCCGCAACAACAUUGGCUUUCCCCGGUUUGUACUCUAGCCGAUAGUCGAAUUCCGCAAGGAAAUCUUGCCACCGUGCUUGCUUCGGACUCAACUUCUUCUGAGUUUGAAAGUAGCUUGUCGCCACGUUAUCUGUCAUAAUCGUGAAGUGCGAGCCAAGCAAGUAAUGUCGCCACACCCGCAAGCAAUGUAUGAUUGCGGUCAUCUCCUUCUCUUGCACCGUGUAGCGGCGUUCCGUGUCAUUUAGCUUUCGACUCUCGAACGCUAUUGGGUGGCCUUCUUGCAUAAGGACUCCUCCUAUGGCGAAAUCCGAGGCAUCCGUUUGAACUUCAAAUGGCUUGGUGUGGUCCGGAAGAGCGAGGACUGGUUCCUCCAAAAUUGCCUUCUUCAACUCCUCGAAGGCGCGUUGGCACUCUUCGGACCAAUGCCAUGUUCUGUUUUUCUUGAGCAUAUCCGUCAAGGGUGCCGCCUUGGCUGAAUAGCCCUUAAUGAAGCGGCGGUAGUAAUUCACCAGCCCAAGGAAUGAGCGAAGCUCGGGUACUUUCGAGGGAGGCUCCCAAUCGAGGAUGGCCUUUACUUUGUCAUUCUCCAUCAUGAUCUUCCCGCCCGCAAUCUUGUGGCCAAGGAACUCCACCUCUUGUUGGGAAAACGAGCACUUCUCUAGUUUGAGGAAGAGCUCAUUGUCUCGAAGUACUUGGAGGACUUGUUGCAAGUGUUGGGCAUGAUCCUCGAGUGUGGUACUAUACAC